ACAGCCAUAAACAUAAAUAAUUAAUAACAUUAUUAUUCGCCAGAGAACUACAAGCCACUGCUUAAAACUCAAAGGACUUGGCGGUGCUUUAUAUCCACCUAGAGGAGCCUGUUCCAUAACCGAUGAUCCCCGAUUUACCUUACCACUCCUUGCUAAUUCAGCCUAUAUACCGCCAUCUUCAGCUAACCCUAAAAAGGAACUAAAGUAAGCUAAAUGAGUAAUACUAAAGAAGUUAGGUCAAGGUGUAGCCCAUGGAGUGGGGCGAGAUGGGCUACAUUUUCUAUACUUAGAACAUUACGAAACCCUAUAUGAAAUCUAUAGGAUAAAGGAGGAUUUAGUAGUAAAUUAAAACUAGAGUGUUUAAUUGAAUAGAGCAAUGAAGCACGC
This 387-nucleotide ribosomal RNA is filed under the name Dipodomys panamintinus (Panamint kangaroo rat). Its description in RNAcentral is "partial 12S ribosomal RNA". It matches the Rfam family "Bacterial small subunit ribosomal RNA", at positions 796 to 1384 of the family's 1533-position model. Lineage: Eukaryota; Metazoa; Chordata; Mammalia; Rodentia; Heteromyidae. The record is from RNAcentral.